This 1237-nucleotide long non-coding RNA is filed under the name Equus caballus (horse). RNAcentral describes it as "lncRNA (ENSECAG00000045661.1)". Lineage: Eukaryota; Metazoa; Chordata; Mammalia; Perissodactyla; Equidae. The record is from RNAcentral.
CUCGUUUAUUCUGAUAGUUUUUUUCAUGGAUUUUCUAUAUACAAAAUUAUGUCAUUUGUGAAUAGAGAAAUUUUAUUUCUUCCUUUCCAGUAUGGAUACCUUUUAUUUAUUUUUCUUGUAUAAUUGACUUGGCUAGAGCAUCUAGCACAAUGUUGAAUAGAAGUACCAAAGUUGGUAUCCUUAUCUUAUUCCGUAACUUAGAGGAAAGCAUCCAGUCUGUCACCAUGAGUAUCAUGUUAGAUGUGGGUUUCUUGUAGAUGCCCUUUAUCAGGUUGAGGGAUUUCCUUUCAAUUCCUAAUUUGUUGAGUAUUAGCUUGUUGAUAUGGUAGAUUAUAUUGAUUACUUUUUGAAUAUAGACCCAACCUUGCAUCCUUGCAAUAAAUCCCACUUGGUUAUGGUGUAUGAUUAUUUUUUUAUGAUGCUCAAUUAUAUUUGCUAAUUGUAUUAGUUUCCUAGGGACACAGCAACAAAUUACCACAAACUGGGUGACUUAAAAGAACAGAAAUAUAUUCCCUCACAAUUCUGGAGGCCAGAAGUCCAAAGUCAGUAUUACUGGGCCAAAAUCAAAGUACCAUCUGGGCCCCACUCUGUCUAGAAGCUGUAGGGGAGAAUCCAUUCAUUGCCUCUUCUAGCUUCUGGUGGCUGUUGGCAUUCCUUAUCUUUGGCUGCAUCACUCUAAUUUUCUAGUGUAGCAUCUUUAGAUCUCUUUCUGUUUCAUCUUCAUAUGACCUUCUCAUCUUCAUAUGUGUUUGUAUCAAAUCUCCCUCUGUCUCUCUCUUAUAAGAAUAUGCAUGAUUGAACUUAGGGCCCACCUGGAUAUUCCAGGAUAAUCUCUCCAUCUCAAGCUCUUUAGUUUAGGAGGUUGAUGUCAAGAUGGUGGUGUAGGUGGACUCUGAAGUCACCUCCUCCCAAGAACACAACCAAGCUACAACUAAUCUUGGAACAAUUACCCCUGAGAGACAACUGAAAUCUGGAUAAAAAUAAGCCCUGCAACAAGGGACAGUCCUGAAUGAGAUGGAAGAGGCAGAAAUUCAUUCUGGAGAGGAAAAGGCCACCUUGACAUGCUGCAGCACUUCCCAACUGGCCAGGAGCACCCUAAGAGUUUUACAGAUGUAGCCCUUUAAUUGAAGUCUUUGGUCCACUUUGAGCUGUUUUCUAUAUGGUAUAAGGUAUGGUUCCACUUUCAUUCUUUUGCAUAUGGAUAUCCAGUUUUGUCAGCACCAUUUGUUGAAGAGAC